Molecule: ribosomal RNA, 252 nt
Filed under: uncultured bacterium
Lineage: Bacteria
Description: partial 16S ribosomal RNA
Rfam family: Bacterial small subunit ribosomal RNA
Source: RNAcentral
UACGUAGGGGGCAAGCGUUGUCCGGAAUUAUUGGGCGUAAAGAGCGCGUAGGCGGUCCGGUAAGUCGGUUGUGAAAGUCGGGGGCUCAACCCUCGGAUGCCGAUCGAUACUGUCGGGCUAGAGUCCGGAAGAGGCGAGUGGAAUUCCUGGUGUAGCGGUGAAAUGCGCAGAGAUCCGGAAGAACACCGGUGGCGAAGGCGGUCUGCUGGGCAGUUGCUGACACUGAGGCGCUACAGCGUGGGAGCAAACAGG